GUAGGUGGCAAGCGUUGUCCGGAAUUAUUGGGCGUAAAGCGCGCGCAGGUGGUUCUUUAAGUCUGAUGUGAAAGCCCCCGGGCUCAACCGGGGAGGGUCAUUGGAAACUGGGGAACUUGAGUGCAGGAGAGGAAAGUGGAAUUCCACGUGUAGCGGUGAAAUGCGUAGAUAUGUGGAGGAACACCAGUGGCGAAGGCGACUUUCUGGCCUGUAACUGACACUGAGGCGCGAAAGCGUGGGGAGCAAACAGGAUUAGAUACCCUGGUAGUCCACGCCGUAACGAUGAGUGCUAAGUGUUGGGGGGUUUCCGCCCCUCAGUGCUGCAGCUAACGCAUUAAGCACUCCGCCUGGGGAGUACGGUCGCAAAGACUG
Molecule: ribosomal RNA, 372 nt
Filed under: uncultured organism
Description: partial 16S ribosomal RNA
Rfam family: Bacterial small subunit ribosomal RNA
Source: RNAcentral